Molecule: small nucleolar RNA, 90 nt
Filed under: Cicer arietinum (chickpea)
Lineage: Eukaryota; Viridiplantae; Streptophyta; Magnoliopsida; Fabales; Fabaceae
Description: Small nucleolar RNA snR60/Z15/Z230/Z193/J17
Rfam family: Small nucleolar RNA snR60/Z15/Z230/Z193/J17
About the family: The members of this family belong to the C/D class of snoRNAs which contain the C (UGAUGA) and D (CUGA) box motifs. Most of the members of the box C/D family function in directing site-specific 2'-O-methylation of substrate RNAs.
Source: Rfam by way of RNAcentral
GAGGGUCAUAUGAUGAUCAUAUGCAUAGUUCAACUGAUCUAUUUGUGAUUAUACAAAUUUUUAGUCUUUCGCUCCUAUCUGAUGACUCCU